GCUCACGAGUCGCAGCCUUCGGUACCUGGCCGGCUGCGCGGCAACCCUCCUCGCCGAGCGGGGUGCCCCAGGGGAAGAGCCGGUCGCGUGCAUCCCGCGUGCGGCAAGUCGGCGGC
Molecule: non-coding RNA, 116 nt
Filed under: Agrococcus jejuensis
Lineage: Bacteria; Bacillati; Actinomycetota; Actinomycetes; Micrococcales; Microbacteriaceae
Description: SAM-IV sequence
Rfam family: SAM (S-adenosyl methionine) riboswitch aptamer
About the family: SAM-IV is a mRNA element that regulates gene expression via direct sensing of S-adenosylmethionine (SAM or AdoMet). SAM-IV riboswitches share conserved nucleotide positions with the previously described SAM-I riboswitches sequence analysis and molecular recognition experiments suggest that SAM-I and SAM-IV riboswitches share similar ligand binding sites, but have different scaffolds.
Source: RNAcentral